RNAcentral lists this long non-coding RNA (1245 nucleotides) under Mus spicilegus (steppe mouse). Its description in RNAcentral is "lncRNA (ENSMSIG00000013908.1)". Lineage: Eukaryota; Metazoa; Chordata; Mammalia; Rodentia; Muridae. The record is from RNAcentral.
CUGACUUGGGGCAUGAAGUCUGUGUCCCUGAAAUGCUUCAUACAAUGACCCCAAUGACCGUUGACAGGCUUUCUUCCACCAACUACCAGUUCUUGAUUCCCCCCUGGAUCUUUCCACCCCGAGCAUCUUGCUUCUGCUGUGGCUCCUCUGAAACACCACACUUGUUUGCGCGAGUGCACACCCUCCCUGACCCUCCAACAGUGUCACCAGAGGGUAUCCUUGGUUCUUGGACUCCGUGGGGAUAGUUGUUUGAGAGGACUUGAGUACCUUUGGUCCAGCCUCAUCCUUCCUUGGGGCCUGUCUUAGUCAGGGUUUCUAUUUCUGCACAAACAUCAUGACACAAAGCAAAUUGGGGAGGAAAGGGUCUAUUAAGCUUACACUUCCACAUUGUUGUUCAUCACCAAAGGAAGUCAGGACUGGAAAUCAAGCAGGUCAGGAAGCAGGAGCUGAUGCAGAGGCCGUGGAGGGAUGUUCUUUACUGGCCUGCUUUCCCUAGCUUGCUCAGUUUCCUCUCUUACAGAAACCAAGACUAUCAACCCAGGGAUGGCACCACUCACCAUGGGUCCUCCCACCUUGAUUGAGAAAAUGCCCCACAGCCAGAUCUCAUGGAGGCAUUUCCCCAACUGAAGCUCCCUUCUCUGCGAUAACUCCAGCUGUGUCAAGUUGACACAAAACCAGUCAGUACAGGGCCUCGGUGUCUCCAGCUCUAAAGUGCAGUGGCAUGGGCACCUGUGCAUCUCCUCCAAUGCUGGCAGCUUAAGGCUGGCCCGGUGGGAGCAGCUAGGUGCCAAGUUCCCUGGGCCAGGGCCUGUCUGCUGCUUCCUUUGCUUGGGGGUUUCAAUGGGAGCAAGUACUGAGCCCCAGGAAGCAGUCUCACUAGAGCCAAGAGGAAGAUCUGCUCCGGAUUCUCCUGUGUCCUGAACCUCCUGGUCCCAGAUGCCUCCUUCUUAGGGGCUAGGAAAUUGUUGGGCUCUGUUUGCCUUCCAGGGACGGUGUAGGGAUCAGGCUACUUGUGACUGUGCCUGCGGUCCCAGUAGCUGAUCAGGAACAGAUUUCCUCUAAUUAAACUUGGGAGGAAACAAAAAGGUUAAGCUGAGUACAAAAGAUGCCUUUUCUAAAAAUCCCUGCAACCUCGGCUCAUGUAGCUGAGCGGAGGAGUGCUCAUGUGGACGCUGUGGGGUCUUGGAGGAUGAGCAACCUCGGGUCAUUUAGCUGAGCCACCAACACACAGGAGGCAAGGAAUGA